UACGGGGGGUGCAAGCGUUGUUCGGAAUUAUUGGGCGUAAGGCGCACGUAGGCGGAUCUGUAAGUCAAUUGUGAAAGCCCUGGGCUUAACCUGGGAAUUGCAGUUGAAACUGCAGACCUUGAAUGCUUGAGAGGAUGACGGAAUUCCUGGUGUAGAAGUGAAAUUCGUAGAUAUCAGGAGGAACACCCGAGGCGAAGGCGGUUAUCUGGCAAUGCAUUGACGCUGAGGUGCGAAAGCGUGGGUAGCAAACAGG
Molecule: ribosomal RNA, 253 nt
Filed under: uncultured bacterium
Lineage: Bacteria
Description: partial 16S ribosomal RNA
Rfam family: Bacterial small subunit ribosomal RNA
Source: RNAcentral